CGUAAUCCGGGUUGCGGACAGUGUCUGGUGGGUAGUUUGACUGGGGCGGUCUCCUCCUAAAGAGUAACGGAGGAGCACGAAGGUUGGCUAAUCCUGGUCGGACAUCAGGAGGUUAGUGCAAUGGCAUAAGCCAGCUUGACUGCGAGCGUGACGGCGCGAGCAGGUGCGAAAGCAGGUCAUAGUGAUCCGGUGGUUCUGAAUGGAAGGGCCAUCGCUCAACGGAUAAAAGGUACUCCGGGGAUAACAGGCUGAUACCGCCCAAGAGUUCAUAUCGACGGCGGUGUUUGGCACCUCGAUGUCGGCUCAUCACAUCCUGGGGCUGAAGUAGGUCCCAAGGGUAUGGCUGUUCGCCAUUUAAAGUGGUACGCGAGCUGGGUUUAGAACGUCGUGAGACAGUUCGGUCCCUAUCUGCCGUGGGCGCUGGAGAACUGAGGGGGGCUGCUCCUAGUACGAGAGGACCGGAGUGGACGCAUCACUGGUGUUCGGGUUGUCAUGCCAAUGGCACUGCCCGGUAGCUAAAUGCGGAAGAGAUAAGUGCUGAAAGC
RNAcentral lists this ribosomal RNA (545 nucleotides) under Escherichia coli. Its description in RNAcentral is "partial 23S ribosomal RNA". It matches the Rfam family "Bacterial large subunit ribosomal RNA", at positions 2234 to 2778 of the family's 2925-position model. The record is from RNAcentral. Lineage: Bacteria; Pseudomonadati; Pseudomonadota; Gammaproteobacteria; Enterobacterales; Enterobacteriaceae.